RNAcentral lists this ribosomal RNA (928 nucleotides) under uncultured bacterium. Its description in RNAcentral is "bacterial SSU rRNA". It matches the Rfam family "Bacterial small subunit ribosomal RNA", at positions 1 to 905 of the family's 1533-position model. The record is from RNAcentral.
CAGAAUUCGCCCUUAGAGUUUGAUCCUGGCUCAGGACGAACGCUGGCGGCGUGCCUAACACAUGCAAGUCGAACGGAGUGUUGCGCUGAAUAUGAGAUUAGCUUGCUAAAGGAAUAUUCUUGUAACACUUAGUGGCGGACUGGUGAGUAACGCGUGAGCAACCUGCCUUACAGAGGGGGACAACAUUGGGAAACCGAUGCUAAUACCGCAUGACAUAUUCGAAAGGCAUCUUUUGAAUAUCAAAGGAGUAAUCCGCUGUAAGAUGGGCUCGCGUCCGAUUAGUUAGAUGGUGGAGUAACGGCCUACCAUGACGACGAUCGGUAGCCGGACUGAGAGGUUGAACGGCCACAUUGGGACUGAGAUACGGCCCAGACUCCUACGGGAGGCAGCAGUGGGGAAUAUUGCACAAUGGAGGAAACUCUGAUGCAGCAACGCCGCGUGAAGGAAGAAGGUCUUCGGAUUGUAAACUUCUGUUUUUAGUGACGAAGGAAGUGACGGUAGCUAAAGAGGAAGCCACGGCUAACUACGUGCCAGCAGCCGCGGUAAUACGUAGGUGGCAAGCGUUGUCCGGAUUUACUGGGUGUAAAGGGUGCGCAGGCGGGACUGCAAGUUGGAUGUGAAAUACCGGGGCUUAACCCCGGAGCUGCAUCCAAAACUGUAGUUCUUGAGUGAAGUAGAGGUAAGCGGAAUUCCGAGUGUAGCGGUGAAAUGCGUAGAUAUUCGGAGGAACACCAGUGGCGAAGGCGGCUUACUGGGCUUUAACUGACGCUGAGGCACGAAAGCAUGGGUAGCAAACAGGAUUAGAUACCCUGGUAGUCCAUGCCGUAAACGAUGAAUGCUAGGUGUGGGGGGACUGACCCCUUCCGUGCCGGAGUAAACACAAUAAGCAUUCCACCUGGGGAGUACGACCGCAAGGUUGAAACUCAAA